Molecule: ribosomal RNA, 439 nt
Filed under: uncultured bacterium
Lineage: Bacteria
Description: partial 16S ribosomal RNA
Rfam family: Bacterial small subunit ribosomal RNA
Source: RNAcentral
CUACGGGAGGCUCCAGUGGGGAAUAUUGCACAAUGGGCGCAAGCCUGAUGCAGCAACGCCGCGUGAGUGAAGAAGGCCUUCGGGUCGUAAAACUCUGUCCUAAGGGAAGAAAAAUGACGGUACCUUAGGAGGAAGCCCCGGCUAACUACGUGCCAGCAGCCGCGGUAAUACGUAGGGGGCAAGCGUUAUCCGGAAUCACUGGGCGUAAAGGGUGCGUAGGCGGCCUGUCAAGUCAGAAGUGAAAGGCUAUGGCUCAACCAUAGUAAGCUUUUGAAACUGAUGGGCUUGAAUACAGGAGAGGUAAGUGGAAUUCCUAGUGUAGCGGUGAAAUGCGUAGAGAUUAGGAGGAACACCAGUGGCGAAGGCGACUUACUGGACUGUUAUUGACGCUGAGGCACGAAAGCGUGGGGAGCGAACAGGAUUAGAUACCCCCGUAGUC